Podarcis lilfordi (Lilford's wall lizard) is the source of this 4921-nucleotide non-coding RNA. The record is from the annotation of a GenBank genome assembly. Lineage: Eukaryota; Metazoa; Chordata; Lepidosauria; Squamata; Lacertidae.
AGGAGCAAGCCUUGUGGCAGGAAUGUAACAGCCUGGGAUGAAAAUCUCCUCCCUGCAUCUGUUUGGUGUCUUGGAUUUCUUACUCAUCAAGGAUUGCUUAUAAUUUGACACUGUCUCAUAUUAUAUCUCCCAACAUCGGCCAGCAUGACCAAGAAUUAUGGGAGUAAUAGUCCAGCAACAUCUGGAGAGCCACAGGUCAGCCACUUCUGGCCUAAAGGAUGUACUAAUCACCACCCCAUGGGGCUCUCAUGUGUUUAGAGACAAUGGGAGCUCUUCUACCAGUACCCGGGGGGGCCAGAGGUUUCCCAUCCCUGCAGUCAGGUAAGCCAAGAGAGACAAUGAAGGCCCUCAACGCCCUAAUGAACUUUAAGACUGAACAAAGAUUUAAAUGUCAUGCUUUCUGUGUGUCAAACAAACCCAAUAUUCUCCACCCGGCACCACACUGUGAUGAUUGCUGCUCAGUUACACCCACCUCCCUGCUGCGCUGUCUGACAUGACUUGGAGGAGGGGAGGUGCCGGGCAGAGCUGGGAACACAAAUUUCACCAGGGCGUAUUGGCGGGUGGCUGCAACUUUGUGGGAGACGAGAAGUUAAAUCACUAGGUGGCUGCCGAUUCUCUUCCUUUCCCUCCCUUUGUCUAAUGAGCCACUAUAAUGAAUAAACACAUCCCCAGUGGAGGCUGAUUUAGAAGAGGCCUCCCAGGCCCCCCACAGAAAAUAACCAAUUUAAUCGGGCAGGUUAACCUUCUUGCAGUCAGGGGGAGGGGAGAAGGGAAGAGACAGCAAGCACCAUAUUCCUUUACAUGGCCCAUUAGGCUUCUGGCAUCAACAGCAGCUUCCCUCCCUAGGCAAAUAGCAGCGGGCCCUUGGACCUAGGGGGAAAGAGUGAGCUUUCCCUCCCAUAAAACCCCAUGCCCUGCAGUCCAGAACAUGAUUGUCACAGAAACAUAGGAAGCUGCCUUAUUCCCAGUCAGAUGCAUUGAUGCAUCUAACUCAGUAUUUCCUACACCAGUGCUACUCAAAGGGGUGGUUCACGGAUCAGAGUCAUCAGCUGCCAGUCUCCAAUUACUCCACUACAGCCCAGGUUGGGUGGGAUGCUUCAGGGACCAAGCAUGCUACUGGUCCCUGGCACAUUGCAGUCCGGGUGGGUGGGAAUGCCAAUCCAACACACUAGAUAGCUUGAGAAGCACUGCUUUACACUGUGGCUCUGUAGGGUUUCAGUCUGGAUGCUGUCCCAGACCUACAUGGAGAUACCAGAGCAGAGGUGGUUUUAGGGUGGCCCAGUUGGUGUGGUUGCAGUGGGUGCCACGUUGCAGAGGGUGCCAAAACAAUGCUGCAGAACAGAGUGUGGGGAGCAGGGCAUUGCACAGGGCCCAAAGCCCUUCACUGAUUGGGGAUUGAACCUGAAAAUUUAUCCAUGUAAGUCUGCUACUCUACGACUGAGCUAUGUCCCUAUCCUUCUCCCAAGUCUGUUUUAAAGUAAAAAAAGGCGACAUCUAGAUGCUAUGUCCUCUGCCCUUCUCCUCUGUUGUUUCUACCUGCUCUGUAUACCCUGGGUAGGCAAACUAAGGCCCAGGGGCCAGAUCAGGCCCAAUCGCCUUCUAAAUCCAGCCCAUGGACGGUUCAGGAAUUAGCGUGUUUUUACACGAAUAGAAUGUGUGCUUUUAUUUAAAAUGCAUCUCUGGGUUAUAUGUGGGGCAUAGGAAUUUGUUCUCCCCCCCUUCAAAAUAUAGUCUGCCCCCCCCCCACAAGGUCUGAGGGACAGUGGACUGGCCCCCUGCUGAAAAAGCUUGCUGACCCCUGCUGUAGACUCUGUGGUUAACCACUGUCUCAUUAAUUCCUACCAUCAAUUCUAGACAUGUCUGCUGUUCUAUUUACCCAGGCUCACCCCAUAUUUGCAGAUGUUUUCAUGCACCUGAGUGCUUUUGAAGGGGAACAAAAGAGGUGCUUGACUUUGUCUACUGUAAAUUCAUGGUUGGGCAUUACCUGUGUUAGGAUCAGCCACAAUGUUCCAUAACAAUGGCAAGCUUCCAAGUUCUCCAGGAUUCCUCAUUGUGGCUAAAAGUCUAUGCAAAGCCGGCGCAACAGGGGAGUGAGUGGGUUAAAAAAAAUGCAGAAGGCUGAUAUUGUAGCCACGAGGUCCACCUUUAGACCCAAACUGUGCACAUGACACAUCAUACCUCAAAGCACAUUCUUUCCCCACAAAGAAUUAUGGGCACCGUAGUUAACCCCCCACAGAGCCUUGCCCCUCAUGGGCACUGUAGUUUAUCCCUCACAGUUCCCAGCAAUCUUUAACAACCCCUUUUCACAGUGGCCAAUCAGAUUCCCAUGGGAAACCCAGAAGCAGAACCUAACUGCAACCGCACUCUCUUCACCUGCGAUUCCCCGCAAUUUGUCUCCAAAGGCAUGCAGCCUUUGACAGUGGAAGUAGACAAUGGAAGUAAACAGUGCUGUUUUUCUUGAAAAAGAGGUGCCAGCACUCACCAUGAAUGCUUCCUUUGUUCUCUUAUAGUGGCAGUGGCACCUGCCUGAGUGGUGCUGGAACUGAGUUCCAGCUGAAAAAAGCAGCCCUGGAAGACAGCCACCAUAGCUAGCAGCCAGGGAUAGCUUUAUCAUCCAGGAAUUUGCUCUUUUAAAGCCAUCCAAGUUGGUGGCCAUCACUAUCUCUUGUUGAUGACUCUCAAACACAUUUGUUGCUGGCUCUGUAGCAUCUUCAUACCAGUUUCAAAACUUCCGAAUAUAUUUUGAGUUCACUUUUUCAUGCAAAUGUGAACCCUUCAAUUUAAUCUAUGAGUGUAAUGGGGCAUCCAAUAGCCCUUGGGGAAGCUGCCCAGUGAAGUCACAUUUACAUGCUGUUUUACACACACACACACACACACACACACACACAGACACACACACUUCAUGUGCGUGACCUGUUUUGUUUCCUUGUCCCCGCAAUCCCCCAACUCCUAUUCACGAAGCUGUCAUCUGCUCAUGCCCAGUCACCCAUGCAUGCAAAACAACUGUCUCAAAGAUACACACUUCCGUUUAACGGUGAAUGUUUUCCUUUCAGAUUGAGGUUGGUUUGAGGGGAAAUUCAUCAGACAGCAGUAUUUCCCAAGGAAGUGCAGGAUAGCUCUGCAUCAUGCAUGAUGUUUUGUGUACAUGUCUCUGAAAGCCAGUGGUGGGAGCGCACUGGAACCAGAGUAAAUGGCGAUGUGUACACAGCCUAAGAAAGUACUUAUGGAGAGAGGCUCAUUAAUCUUGCUGUAGCUGAACAAGUGCUCCUUGAAAUCACACCAAAGAAGGUCUCUAAUGAAGUGGCCCUUCUGGCCCUGAAUUGGCGCAUUGGUCUCCCUUUCAAAAAACAAUGGCUCCAGUCUGCACGCCAAGGGCAAAUGUGCCAGCAUAAGUAGAGGCUGAUGUGCAGAUAAGAGAAACUAACAUGCACAAUGCUCCUAAAAAGACUGGAUCCCUGGAUGGUUAAGUCCAGUCAAAGGUGACUAUGGGGUUGUGGUGCUCAUCUUGCUUUCAGGCCGAGGAGGCCAGUGUUUGUCCACAGACAGCUUUCUGGGUCAUGUGGCCAGCAUUAGUAAACUGCUUCUGGUGCAACGGAACACUGUGACGAGUGCCAGAGCACAUGGAAACGCUGUUUACCUUCCUGCCGCACUGGCGCGCUUUUGAACUGCUAGGUUGGCAGAAGCUGGGAGAGAGCAAUGGGAGCUCACUUCGUUGCAUGAAUUUGAACUGCUGACCUUCUGAUCGGCAAGCCUAAGAGGCUCAGUGGUUUAGACCACAGCGCCACAAUGCUCCCGAAGCCAGACAUCACAUAUAACCAAGUUGCUACUAAGCUUCCUUAAGAAUCCCUAUACUUGUAAUUUCAAAGGAAACCAGACCUCUAAGCAUCCCACAGUACAGAAGAACCAUAUUCAGCUGGAAGAGGAAGGGGUGAUGUUGAGAUGCCUCAUGUUAUUUACACCUACACAACUCUGAUGGGUUUAAGAAUGCACGCAGGACUUGCAACAAAACAUUGCAUUGUGGAGCACUCCCAUUCAGUGUUCUGGCCAGCCAGCCAGCCAGCCAGCCCCUCUCCCAGGGUCUCCACUCCAUUCCUUCUGGCAGAAGAGGAAGCAGCAGGAACCCAUCCUGUUAACACCUCUGUGCUCCUGCUCAGGUGACUAACGCAUCUCUUGGGGUUAUAUUUUAUAAUAUAACAUCCUAGAACAACAUCCUAGAGGUCCCAGGCCCAAAGGAAGUUAGAUUAGCCUCAACCAGAGCCAGGGCCUUUUCAGCACUGGCUCCGGCCUGGUGGAACGCUCUGUCUCAUGAGACCAGGGCCCUGCGGGAUCUGAUUUCUUUCCGCAGGGCCUGUAAGACAGAGUUGUUCCACCUGGCCUUUGGCUUAGAAUCAGUUUGAUUCCCUCCCCCUCUUUCUUCUUUCCUUUCUCCUCCUGUGAAGAGGCUGCAUUUUAAUGUUUUAAUGUUGUAUUUUAAUCUUGUUUUAAUGUUGUAUUUUAAUCUUGUUUUAAUGUUGUAUUUUAAUCUUGUUUUAAUGUUGUAUUUUAAUCUUGUUUUAAUGUUGUAUUUUAAUCUUGUUUUUUAAGUUGUAUUUUAAUCAACUUGUUUUUAUUAUUGAUUGUUAGCCACCCUGAGCCCAGUCUUGGCUGAGGAGGGUGGGGUAUAAAUAAAAUUUAUUAUUAUUAUUAUUAUUAUUAUUAUUAUUAUUAUUAUUAUUUGCAGCAGCCCUUGCCAGAGUCCACUCCCUGGAGAUCCAGGCUGACUCAGACGUCUAGGCCUUUGUGGGUGAGCCCGUGAUCCUGAAGUGCUGGUUCAAGUCCUCCUUCCCAGUCACAGAGAAGCUCACCAUCGAUUGGACAUAUCGACCUCUUGCAGGGGGCAAUUUGGAGCUGGUGGGUGGUGUUUUGACUGUCUGCCUCAGCC